CUUGAACGCUGGCGGCAGGCCUAACACAUGCAAGUCGAACGAGUGGCGGACGGGUGAGUAAUGUCUGGGAAACUGCCUGAUGGGGGGGGAUCACUACUGGAAACGGUAGCUAAUACCGCAUACCAUCAGAUGUGCCCAGAUGGGAUGAGCUUGUUGGUGGGGUAACGGCUCACAAAGGCGACGAUCCCUAGCUGGUCUGAUAGGAUGACAUGCCACACUGGAACUGCGACACGGUCCAGACUCCUACGGGAGGCAGCAGGGGUGAAUAUUGCACAAUUGGCGCAAGCCUGAUGCAGCCAUGCCGCGUGUAUGAAGAAGGCCUUCGGGUUGUAAAGUACUUUCAGCGGGGAGGCGUUACCCGCAGAAGAAGCACCGGCUAACUCCGUGCCAGCCGCCGCGGUAAUUC
This 406-nucleotide ribosomal RNA is filed under the name uncultured bacterium. RNAcentral describes it as "partial 16S ribosomal RNA". It matches the Rfam family "Bacterial small subunit ribosomal RNA", at positions 30 to 526 of the family's 1533-position model. The record is from RNAcentral.